AGGUGGCUGAUUUAAACCAAUUUAAAUCCCAACCAAUCCUAAUCAUAUUAGGAACUGAUUAAACCUAAAUAGAUAGAAAACUAAAUCUAAUUUGGAGCCCAAACUAUUUAGAUUAGAUGUUACCUAAUUAGAGAAGGAGUCUUAGUCUUUUUGGACUCUCUUUUGGUGCUCGAGUCAAACUCAAUUUAAUCCUAAUCUAAUUAGGAUUUGGUGCACCCAUAAAAAUAAAAAUUUUUAGUCUAAAUAGAAAUUCAAAUAUUCUUAGUUAGAUCCUAGUCU
RNAcentral lists this long non-coding RNA (279 nucleotides) under Elaeis guineensis (African oil palm). RNAcentral's name for it is "long non-coding RNA (EGUI_LNC082625)". Lineage: Eukaryota; Viridiplantae; Streptophyta; Magnoliopsida; Arecales; Arecaceae. The record is from RNAcentral.